RNAcentral lists this long non-coding RNA (1125 nucleotides) under Homo sapiens (human). RNAcentral's name for it is "PREDICTED lncRNA (TCONS_00202816)". Lineage: Eukaryota; Metazoa; Chordata; Mammalia; Primates; Hominidae. The record is from RNAcentral.
CAGGAACUAUAAAAUGAGAAAAGAUUGAUGAAUAUUAAGUAGAAGAGUGAGAUGGUCAUCUUUGCAUUUAAAAAAGAUCAUUUGCUGUUGCUGUAUGGAAAAUGAAUUGGAGCAGGAAUUAUUGAUCAAAUUUGGAUCUCUGUGUGCUGUCCUCCAAUUUAAUACUUUCUGUGUUGCUGUUUUAUUUUCUUUCUUCUGGAACCUGGCAAAGUGCGUCAAGCGAUGAGGCUUCCUCUUUGAAGAUCACAGGUGAGAAGAUUAGGUGCUUUCUCAGAAGCCCAGCAACCUGAUGGGAGUGUGGAGUGAGCAAGACCCAAAUCGGAGCUUCAUCCCUGCAUGGUUCAUUUUGCUUAUUUGGCAAACUUGCCCUGCAGGUGAAAACAUUGGAAUCUUGUGAACCUCAACCUGUGUUUUACAUAUGUAUACAUGAAGCAUCCAAUGGCAUUACACCUCAGCCAGAGAAGAAGCUCUUAAGAGAUCAGGUGCCUCAUUUCACCCAUGGGCUGCUCCAGCAUUUCCAGCCUCCUCACUCCUGACACAUACAGGCACGUGCUCUCUGUGGAGUCUUUGCACUUCUCCUUUCCUUCCUGAAAUGCUCUUCCCCUGGGUGUCUUCAUCCUACCUCCCUCAACUCUUUCAUCUUGUUUAAAAAAUGUCAUUUUCUCAGUGAGAACUUCCUUGUCUUAUUCAGUUUGGGCUUCUCUAAUAAAAAUACUAUAGACUGAGUGGCUUAAACAGCAGAAAUUUAUUUCCCACAGUUCUAGAGGCUGAGAAGUCUGAGAUCAGGGUACCAGCCUGGUUGGAUUCUCAGUUUAGAGACAGCUAUCUUCUCAUUGUAUCUCACCUGGUGGAGAGCAGAGAGGGAGGAAGCAAGCUCUCUCACGUCUCUUCUUAUAAGGACACUAAUCCCAUUCAUGAUGGCUCCAUCCUCAUGACCAAAGGCCUUGCCUCCAAAUAUCAUCACACUGGGGAUUUGGCUUCAACAUUUGAUUUUGGGGGUGGGAAACAAAAAAUUUAGUCCAUAGCAUUCCCAAGUGAUUUGUUUAAAUUUUCUACUUAAUCUCUUCUGUGCUUAAAUGUAUCUCCUUAGUAUUGUCCUUUAUCUAUUGCCAAUGUAACUCAUCU